Bubalus bubalis (water buffalo) is the source of this 848-nucleotide long non-coding RNA. RefSeq lists it as uncharacterized. The transcript is spliced from 2 exons. The record is from RefSeq and is a predicted model, not a curated record. Lineage: Eukaryota; Metazoa; Chordata; Mammalia; Artiodactyla; Bovidae.
UCUGCGCCGGCGCGGGGGUAGAAAAUGCGGGGUCUCGCGGGAGCCAGGCCCGGGCAGCCGUCAGAGUGCCCGGGGUUUACAGAAUUAUAGUGUGCUUUCCACUAGCGCAUCACAAGGGACAAGCCUUCUUUUAACAGAGGAAGCCUGGGCCGCCGUCGCUAUGGCCUCCCCCACUUCCUGGCCACUUGGUCGGGUCUGACAGAGACGAGAGCCGGGUCGCCAAGCGGGCCGAAGGAAGGGUAGCGACUUCCCCCUGAGGUGUGGGGUGGAACUGCACGAGGGGCCCCAGCCCGGCAGCCCGCAGUGUGCGCCUACAUGAGGAAAACUUGGGAGAUGAGUUGAAAAACUUGAGUUUCUGAGGUAGUACAAAUAAUUUAUGUCAUGAUAAAAUUGUCUCCUACAUUGAUGAGGAGGAGUGUUUCUGUGAAGCUUUGACCACGCGGUGGAAAAUGAAAUGAAGUCACUGCAUUUUCCAGUUGGCUGCAAUACCAAAAAGAAUGGGGACUCUUGCACCCGCACAGAGAAUGGUUCUUUGUAAAGUCUUGAAGCUUACUUUAUAUAGUAUUGUAGCAACUAUUCUGGAGUGGGAGGGGAGGUGGAUAUCUCCCUGGAACGCAUCUCAAAAGACACUGAUCAGUGAUGGUCUAAAACGUGUUAUAAGCAAGCUGACAGGAAGAUAGAGUCUCAAACGUAGAGUGACUUAACACACCUGUGUAGACUGGCAGCCAUGGCGCCAGCAUUACCUUGGUCUUUCUCAGGUACUCCAUAAGGCUUUCUCUGCCAAUCUCUCUCCAGGAUUGAGAGUCCCUGGAGAACCGGUAGGAAGCCUCUAAAAUGCUCCCCAUAAU